This 253-nucleotide ribosomal RNA is filed under the name uncultured bacterium. Its description in RNAcentral is "partial 16S ribosomal RNA". It matches the Rfam family "Bacterial small subunit ribosomal RNA", at positions 524 to 776 of the family's 1533-position model. The record is from RNAcentral.
GACGAACCGAGCGAACGUUGUUCGGAAUCACUGGGCUUAAAGGGCGCGUAGGCGGAUUCUCCAGUCCGGGGUGAAAUCCCACAGCUCAACUGUGGAACUGCCUCGGAUACUGGGGGUCUCGAGGGUGGCAGGGGUAUGCGGAACUAUCGGUGGAGCGGUGAAAUGCGUUGAUAUCGAUAGGAACUCCGGUGGCGAAGGCGGCAUACUGGUCCACUUCUGACGCUGAGGCGCGAAAGCCAGGGGAGCAAACGGG